CCCUUAGAUGUUCUGGGCCGCACGCGUGCUACACUGAGUGGAUCAGCGGGUCAGGUUGCGCGAAAGUGUUUCCUAAUCUUUAAAUCCGCUCGUGAUGGGGAUUGACGGUUGCAAUUUUCCGUCAUGAACGAGGAAUACCUUGUAAGCGCGAGUCAUCAGCUCGCGUUGAUUACGUCCCUGCCCUUUGUACACACCGCCCGUCGCUACUACCGAUUGAAUGGUUUAGUGAGGACUCCUGAUUGGCGCCGCCGCCCCGGCAACGGAGCAGCGGACUGCCGAAAAGUUGUUCAAACUUGAUCAUUUAGAGGAAGUAAAAGUCGUAACA
Molecule: ribosomal RNA, 325 nt
Filed under: uncultured eukaryote
Lineage: Eukaryota
Description: partial 18S ribosomal RNA
Rfam family: Eukaryotic small subunit ribosomal RNA
Source: RNAcentral